GAUGAACGCUGGCGGCGUGCCUAAUACAUGCAAGUCGAGCGAACAGACGAGGAGCUUGCUCCUCUGACGUUAGCGGCGGACGGGUGAGUAACACGUGGAUAACCUACCUAUAAGACUGGGAUAAAUUCGGGAAACCGGAGCUAAUACCGGAUAAUAUAUUGAACCGCAUGGUUCAAUAGUGAAAGACGGUUUUGUUGUCACUUAUAGAUGGAUCCGCGCCGCAUUAGCUAGUUGGUAAGGUAACGGCUUACCAAGGCAACGAUGCGUAGCCGACCUGAGAGGGUGAUCGGCCACACUGGAACUGAGACACGGUCCAGACUCCUACGGGAGGCAGCAGUAGGGAAUCUUCCGCAAUGGGCGAAAGCCUGACGGAGCAACGCCGCGUGAGUGAUGAAGGUCUUCGGAUCGUAAAACUCUGUUAUUAGGGAAGAACAAAUGUGUAAGUAACUAUGCACGUCUUGACGGUACCUAAUCAGAAAGCCACGGCUAACUACGUG
Molecule: ribosomal RNA, 497 nt
Filed under: uncultured bacterium
Lineage: Bacteria
Description: partial 16S ribosomal RNA
Rfam family: Bacterial small subunit ribosomal RNA
Source: RNAcentral